This 731-nucleotide ribosomal RNA is filed under the name uncultured Pseudomonas sp. RNAcentral's name for it is "bacterial SSU rRNA". It matches the Rfam family "Bacterial small subunit ribosomal RNA", at positions 65 to 791 of the family's 1533-position model. Lineage: Bacteria; Pseudomonadati; Pseudomonadota; Gammaproteobacteria; Pseudomonadales; Pseudomonadaceae. The record is from RNAcentral.
AGCGGUAGAGAGAAGCUUGCUUCUCUUGAGAGCGGCGGACGGGUGAGUAAUGCCUAGGAAUCUGCCUGGUAGUGGGGGAUAACGUUCGGGAACGGACGCUAAUACCGCAUACGUCCUACGGGAGAAAGCAGGGGACCUUCGGGCCUUGCGCUAUCAGAUGAGCCUAGGUCGGAUUAGCUAGUUGGUGGGGUAAUGGCUCACCAAGGCGACGAUCCGUAACUGGUCUGAGAGGAUGAUCAGUCACACUGGAACUGAGACACGGUCCAGACUCCUACGGGAGGCAGCAGUGGGGAAUAUUGGACAAUGGGCGAAAGCCUGAUCCAGCCAUGCCGCGUGUGUGAAGAAGGUCUUCGGAUUGUAAAGCACUUUAAGUUGGGAGGAAGGGUUGUAGAUUAAUACUCUGCAAUUUUGACGUUACCGACAGAAUAAGCACCGGCUAACUCUGUGCCAGCAGCCGCGGUAAUACAGAGGGUGCAAGCGUUAAUCGGAAUUACUGGGCGUAAAGCGCGCGUAGGUGGUUUGUUAAGUUGGAUGUGAAAUCCCCGGGCUCAACCUGGGAACUGCAUUCAAAACUGACUGACUAGAGUAUGGUAGAGGGUGGUGGAAUUUCCUGUGUAGCGGUGAAAUGCGUAGAUAUAGGAAGGAACACCAGUGGCGAAGGCGACCACCUGGACUAAUACUGACACUGAGGUGCGAAAGCGUGGGGAGCAAACAGGAUUAGAUACCCUGGU